CAGAAGGGAACCCAAAAUCUUGACCCUACAGAAACACUGGGAAGCAGUGGCAUCAUGCCUAGCAGCUUGGAGGACUCCUCUCAGAAGCUACACAUGUGAGCUACUACUGUAGGGAGGAGCACAUACCAGACAGCAGCACUAGAAGAAAGCUCUGGUCCUUGCUUAUGAGGACACGGCAGGCCCAGCAGGCAGAGGGGCUGAUUCCAGAGUACUUACUCAGACACAACUCUCCGAGACUUCAAGCCGUGUUUUGCUUGAAUAAUGUCCCGCAGGAUCGAGUCCCCAGUUUAGGACCGACUGACAGCAAACUUCUGAGACUUAAAAUCAGGUCAGAAUGAGUGGAAUAAGAAAAAAACCCGCCAAGCCUUGGCUCUUUACCAUUAAAUAAAUUGGAUUCCCAGCGCAAACAGCAAAACAAUGGCCAAGAGGAUGUGACUAACAAACGCCGAGGGAAGAGUCAAGCUGCCCCCUCUUUGCAUAUGUAGCCAAACAGAAGUCAUUGGGGUUGGGAUUUCCCCCCCUUCCCCCCCCCCCCAAUUUAACAUAUCUGUGCAUUUCAAUAAGCUGAGAGAAACAAUGCCCGGCUUUCAAAAGUUGCAAAUUACUGGGAAUACAUUGCAAAAUGUGGAUAGCCCAUAACAUUGGAAGAUGUUUUAAAGUAAUUAUCUUUGAGGGGGAGGGGGGAGAGUUGCUUUGGUUUAGUUUGGGUUUUUUGGUUUGGUUUGGUUUGUAUUUUUUUCAUAAGGAAAAGGAGAGAGAGAAAUCAUAAUGCUCUAGGAAAAUAAUCCUGGAUUGCGAGGAAACUGCGCCCGUGAGAUAUGUAAGAAACUUCAUGGGAUAAAAAUGGCUCGAGUGUAUAUUUUGUAAAAGAACAAAUAUUUUUUUAUCUCACUGGCUGGUCAAAGUCAGACAGGGAGUUCUCGCUCAUGUGCAUUGAUGAUCUUCAGCCAAGUGUAAGUAUUUCUUGUCCUCGCUGCCGAUGGCAGGCAGACACCUGCAAACCUGCACAUCGAAAGGGAAAAAAAUUUCCCUUUUUCGCUGUCACCAGUGGCAUUUCUAUAGCUGCUAAAGAAAGCAGCAAGACGGGAAUCGCGCCCUUCACGAGCAGCCGGUUUGGCAGCGCAAGUCGGAGGGCGCCAGCCACGCUCAGGAAAAAGGAGGGGAAUCCUCCCCAUGCGGAGGAAAACUCGAGAACCCCCUCGGUAAACAAAACAAAAAAAAACACCCAGACCA
Long non-coding RNA from Myiozetetes cayanensis, 1233 nucleotides. RefSeq lists it as uncharacterized. The record is from RefSeq and is a predicted model, not a curated record. The transcript is spliced from 4 exons. Lineage: Eukaryota; Metazoa; Chordata; Aves; Passeriformes; Tyrannidae.